RNAcentral lists this ribosomal RNA (512 nucleotides) under uncultured bacterium. RNAcentral's name for it is "bacterial SSU rRNA". It matches the Rfam family "Bacterial small subunit ribosomal RNA", at positions 191 to 697 of the family's 1533-position model. The record is from RNAcentral.
GGGCUUGUCAGCAAAGGUGAGAUUCCACCGGAGGAGCGGCUGAGACGCUAUUAGCUUGUUGGUGAGGUAAUGGCUUACCAAGGCGACGAUGGGCUAGGGGGUGUGAGAGCAUGGCCCCCACCACUGGCACUGAGACACUGGCCAGACACCUACGGGUGGCUGCAGUCGAGAAUCUUCGGCAAUGGGCGCAAGCCUGACCGAGCGACGCCGCGUGCGGGAUGAAGGUCUUCGGAUUGUAAACCGCUGUCGGAGGGGAUGAAGUGUAUGGGAGCAAUCUCCUGUAUUUGACAGAGCCUCGGAGGAAGCACGGGCUAAGUUCGUGCCAGCAGCCGCGGUAAUACGAACUGUGCAAACGUUAUUCGGAAUCACUGGGCUUAAAGGGUGCGUAGGCGGUCGCACAAGUCAGGUGUGAAAUCCCCCGGCUCAACCGGGGAAUAGCGCUUGAAACUAGGUGACUUGAGUGAGGUAAGGGUACGCGGAACUUCUGGUGGAGCGGUGAAAUGUGUAGAUAU